RNAcentral lists this ribosomal RNA (1593 nucleotides) under Triticum aestivum (bread wheat). RNAcentral's name for it is "partial small subunit ribosomal RNA". The record is from RNAcentral. Lineage: Eukaryota; Viridiplantae; Streptophyta; Magnoliopsida; Poales; Poaceae.
AUGCAGGAGGAUGUGCUACGGGCAUGCGAUGAGAGGCCCGACCCGGUGACCAUGCAAGGCUACCGGUACGUGGUCUCCGGCGAGCGCAAGCAGAAAUUCCUCGUGAAGCGACCCGAGUACGUGUUAACUUACGACAGGCAGUGCGUGAAGAUGACCACCGUGGAGCAGAUCUGGUCGUGCACGGGCAGCCUCCUGAGUUCUGACGGCGGCGGGUUGCUCAAGGACAUGUGCCUCUCCAUGGCCUUGUCCAAGAUGCUCAACCGAAGGUUCGCUGGCUUCGAGCUAGUCGAGGCGGAGCUCGAGAAGACCCACGAUUUUGUGUUCAGCGGGCUGCUCGCCGGCGACAAGCAGAAGCAGUGCGAGCGGGUGUUCAGGGUCGUGGAAGAAGAGCUUGCUUUCGUCCAUGACUUGUACUACACAAGGUACCCUUAUCUCUACCACAAGGGUCGCUACUUCGCCUUCUACUUGCCCUUCGCCAUGAUUGGCCUCUGCCUCUGGGUCAUUCACCUGCUCUUCGAGCGUUUUCAGAAGAACAAGUUUCGGUUGUGGACCACUACCACAAUGGUUUUAAUGGUGGUGGUGGCAUUCUUGGAGCUAUUCCAGCUGUACCUGUACGCGGCAUCAGGGUGGUGCAAGGUGGCGUUGAUAAGGAGCUACGCCGCCAUGCCUGCGUCUGCGUUGCAAAGGAACGGCUUCUGUCAGAUGCUCAUUGGUCUUCUAUUGAGGUUGAAGGCGCUUCGCCCGUGGGAGGACAAGCUCGGCCAGUACUCUCUCAUCGACGCGUUCGACCGAACGCGUCGUGCUAGCAAGUGCCUGCACUGCAUGACAUGCUGCCUAGUCGACAAGCCUAAGAAGGGUCGCCACAGAGCCAAGCCUGUCAAGGUGUCGAGGCAGCUGAAGCAAGCAGUCGUCGAUUCUCUCAUCGAUAGCGAGGGCCGCCUCACCAAUGGGGUCAGAUCCCUGAGAAACAAUGGCGUCGAGCAACUAUUGGAGAGGGCUAGCAACAGAACGACGACGACCCACACCGUUCUGGUGUGGCACAUUGCUACAACCCUCUGCAAGCACAGCCUCGAUGAGCAAGCAAAAGACGGGCGGCUGCCCGGAAAUGAUGGAAGCACGAUUGACACGGACUCCUCGGUGGCCUCCAGCUUGUCGCUCUACUGCGCGUACCUCAUCGCCUUCGAGCUGGAUCUCUUGCCCGAUCACAGCUCCGUUUCGACAUUGAUACUCGGGGAAUCCAUCAGAGAAGCGCGCAAGCUGCUCAAAGGGGCCAAGACCAUGAAGCGCAAGUAUGAGAAGCUCAUGGACAUCAGUGACGGGUCCGCCGCCGGCGACGUGUCGAUCGUCGUGGAGGGCGCUCGACUUGCGAGAAGGCUGAACGAGGACAUCCCAGACCCGGCGCGACGCUGGAGGAUCCUCUCCGAGUUCUGGGCGGAGAUGAUGCUGUACCUAGCGCCCUCCGACAACGCCCGGGCGCAUCUGGAGGCUCUGGCGACAGGAGGUGAGUUCAUCACGCACCUCUGGGCGCUGCUCACCCACGCCGGCGUGCUGCAGCGAGAUCGUGGCGCUGGCGGGCCACAGGCUGCUGUCUAA